RNAcentral lists this ribosomal RNA (458 nucleotides) under uncultured bacterium. RNAcentral's name for it is "bacterial SSU rRNA". It matches the Rfam family "Bacterial small subunit ribosomal RNA", at positions 340 to 789 of the family's 1533-position model. The record is from RNAcentral.
UACGGAAGGCAGCAGGGGGAAUAUUGCACAAUGGGCGAAAGCCUGAUGCAGCUAUGCCGCGUGUAUGAAGAAGGCCUUAGGGUUGUAAAGUACUUUCAUCGGGGAGGAAAAACAAAACUAAUAAUUUUAUUUCUUGACGUUACCCGAAAAAGAAGCACCGGCUAACUCCGUGCCAGCAGCCGCGGUAAUACGGAGGGUGCUAGCGUUAAUCAGAAUUACUGGGCGUAAAGAGCACGUAGGUGGUUUUUUUAAGUCAGAUGUGAAAUCCCUGGGCUUAACCUAGGAACUGCAUUUUGAAACUGAAAUACUAGAGUAUCGUAGAGGGAGGUAGAAUUCUAGGUGUAGCGGUGAAAUGCGUAGAUAUCUGGAGGAAUACCUGUGGCGAAAGCGGCCUCCUAAACGAAUACUGACACUGAGGGUGCGAAAGCGUGGGGAGCAAACAGGGAUUAGAUACCCGU